GAUGAACGCUGGCGGCGUGCCUAAUACAUGCAAGUCGAGCGAACAGACGAGGAGCUUGCUCCUCUGACGUUAGCGGCGGACGGGUGAGUAACACGUGGAUAACCUACCUAUAAGACUGGGAUAACUUCGGGAAACCGGAGCUAAUACCGGAUAAUAUAUUGAACCGCAUGGUUCAAUAGUGAAAGACGGUUUUGCUGUCACUUAUAGAUGGAUUCGCGCCGCAUUAGCUAGUUGGUAAGGUAACGGCUUACCAAGGCAACGAUGCGUAGCCGACCUGAGAGGGUGAUCGGCCACACUGGAACUGAGACGCGGUCCAGACUCCUACGGGAGGCAGCAGUAGGGAAUCUUCCGCAAUGGGCGAAAGCCUGACGGAGCAACGCCGCGUGAGUGAUGAAGGUCUUCGGAUCGUAAAACUCUGUUAUUAGGGAAGAACAAAUGUGUAAGUAACUAUGCACGUCUUGACGGUACCUAAUCAGAAAGCCACGGCUAACUACGUG
Molecule: ribosomal RNA, 497 nt
Filed under: uncultured bacterium
Lineage: Bacteria
Description: partial 16S ribosomal RNA
Rfam family: Bacterial small subunit ribosomal RNA
Source: RNAcentral